UAACAUGGGGCGUGGCCAAGAUCGCCCCUCCCCCACACACACUUUCGCCUCAGUUUUAUUUCACGCGUGUGAGUCCGCAAUCGACUCGCUGUGUCGUGCGUCUCAACACAUUGAUUGGCAAAACAAAGUAUCUUCGUCUCUCCCCAACACGCCUCUCCCCUCCUCCCCCGCCGCCGCCCAGAGAGUCGCUUAAGACAAGGGAAGAGGACACGGGGACAAGGAGAUGGUGCGCGACGGCGUUCCAAUGGGAGCAGCAUCGCAGCGGAAGGGAUCCCCCUGAGCCGCCGCAGAACAGACGUGGACAUUUCUGAAAAAAAGAGCUUCAUAGCUCAUCGGAUUUCUCCAGGAUGAAGAAAGAAUCUGAUGUACCUCUCGCCACUGAUUUUCGCCAUGGCUGGUAUUCAGACUUGGACCGCAGGGUUCAAAGCGCAGUGGAUGAACUACUGCACAACCAAAGAGAUGCUUACAUUUGGGACAGAAAUGUGUGAUCAAGAUAAGUCUUGUUCAUUGCCUUGCUGAAAACAUCUCUUGUGUUGUGAGUAGCUGAAUAUGAGUAGUAGAGAUAGUGCAAGUUCAAUUAUGAUAGCACUUGUAAGAGCCCGUUAACAAGAACUGCAUUAGUAUUGUAAUUGGUGCAGCAGAGAUGCUUUGAGUGCACAUCUGGCAAGGCUAUGCCUUUAAAUAAGCAACUGUUGUAUAUAGCAUGUAACAAUUAUCAUAAAUGUACCUUAAAAUUGUAUUUUUCUUUUAUUUAAAGUUAAAACAUUUAAGUUUAUACACAAUCGUUAUCCUGUAUCACAUUUUGUGACCCCUGCAUUUCAAUGCCGUGAACAUUAUUUCUAUACAUAUCACCAAGUUAAUUGCAUUGUACAGGUGUUUCAGAUUUGUCUUGUUUGGAGGACAUUAUGCUUGAUCUUUUUGGUGUGAUGAGUGGUAUUGCCCUCAGUUGCCAUUACCCCUACUCUGGCCACUGUGGUAUAUUCCAGGCUGCAGUGUCGAUGUGAAUGGGUUUUGCCUGCUACAGUCAAGAGCUGCAAUGAAAGCCUAAUUGUAAAUGCUAUAAUCAGCUGUUUGUCAUUUACGGUUCAUGUUGAUCUAAAAAAACAGGGUGUUUUGCCUGGAGACAUUUAUUUUAUGCUGGGUAUGUAUAACAAUGUUUCGUAAUAUUGCUCUUGCAAUUCAGAAGGACUUAUUUCUGUAUUGUCUCUAUGACAUUGAUCAACAUUGCUGAAUGUAUUGCAGUAAUGACUUGCUUCAUGCGCCGGAUGUUUUUUUCUUGUUCACUUUUUGGUGAAAAUGUGCCUCUAUAUCUGUCAGGACCGAUGGGUGAAAAAAUCCUCAAAAUUACAUCAAUCAAGCCCUUAAAUGUGUAGGUAUACUUGUGUAUCAAAUGUUAACCUUAUUCAACAUUUCUAUUCGUAUGCAUUUACAAUUUUAGUGUUUUUAUUCGUUAAUAUUUACUUUAUAGAGUGCGCAUACGAGGCUUUGGGUUGAUUCUUAGAUUUCACAUGUAGACAAGGACUGUGUCCACAAUGUUGCUGGGUUGUUAAUGUUUGCUCCGGUUUCUGCAGCCCGUUUCGGUGCCUGUCCCGCCACUGCGUGUGAGUGUGUGGUGAUUGGUGGUGGGGGGGAGAUAUAAUCCCGUGUACAGUGUCGUUACCCGAGCCACACAAUAUAGCAAGGUGAAGCAGUAACUAGAGCGCAGUAGGGCUCUGCAUGGCCAUUGCCAUGCAGAGUAGUUAAACGUGUUGUAAACACGCAGCCUUGGUGGGAGCUGCUUUUCUGCCGUCCGUUCUAAUCACGUAAAAAAUGUACCCGUAAAAGCAAAGUUUUUCACUAUAAAUCCUUUAUAUGCGUGGCGGCUAGAGUCCUCUCGUCCUCUGGCUUGAGAUGGCUGCCACCUAUGGGUCAGAUGAUUGUCUGCCAGUAUUAAGCAAUUGGUAAUUAAAUAUUUAAUUUGUUUUCCCUAAACAGUGUAACAUUUUGGAAAAAAAAUUUCACGAAAAUUAAUUGUCUCGCACAACGAGCCUGUGUGCAAAAUGUCAGCUCGAUUGGAUCACGGGAAGUGGGUUAAAAAACGACCGAAAGAUUUGCACGGUCGUAAGCAAGCAAGCAAGCACGCACGCAAGCAAGCAAACUUAAUAUAAAGGAUUUAAAAAGAGCAACUCGGAAGAGUUGCUGCAAUUCUUGACCUGUCCACUUGAUAGGUCGUAGCAGCAUUGUCUCGUGAUUUAUAGUGCAAAAAAAAGCCCGAAUGUUGGACCGGUAUUUUGACAUGUGCAGCAUUAAGAUCUGUCCAUAAUAAAGGUUUUAUGGGUGAGGUCGCGUAUGUCAUUAACCAACCACCCUACUCGACACAUUGAAUUCAUCAAGUUUGUCACGUAAACUAAACGUAGCAAUUAGUUACUACUUCAGUUCACCGAAAGCCUGUGUCUUAAACCAAGAUCUGUGUUGGAAUUAGUGUGUGAAUGCACGCUACAGUUAAUCAUUGUCAGCCAAUAUCUGUCUAUUGCUCGAUGAUGGCCUUCCAAAGCAGGUUGCUAUUGUGCUCUUGGUCUUGUGAUGUGCACAUGAGCUCAUUUCAUUGCUCCGUCUCCAAAGUGAAUAUCCCCUCCAGCAUGUUUCCUCCUUUGCUUGGCACUUCCUCAUGAGUCCCGAAGACCGGCCAUCAUCUCUUGCAGUGAUGUGUCCUGCUUUA
Molecule: long non-coding RNA, 2698 nt
Organism: Lethenteron reissneri (Far Eastern brook lamprey)
Lineage: Eukaryota; Metazoa; Chordata; Hyperoartia; Petromyzontiformes; Petromyzontidae
Source: RefSeq, a predicted model, not a curated record